RNAcentral lists this ribosomal RNA (448 nucleotides) under uncultured bacterium. Its description in RNAcentral is "SSU rRNA". It matches the Rfam family "Bacterial small subunit ribosomal RNA", at positions 26 to 518 of the family's 1533-position model. The record is from RNAcentral.
AGAGCGAACGCUGGCGGCAGGCCUAACACAUGCAAGUCGAGCGCCCGUAGCAAUACGGGAGCGGCAGACGGGAGAGUAACACGUGGGAACGUGCCCAUCAGUUCGGAACAACCCAGGGAAACUUGGGCUAAUACCGGAUACGCCCUUACGGGGAAAGAUUUAUCGCUGAUGGAGCGGCCCGCGUCUGAUUAGCUAGUUGGUGAGGUAAUGGCUCACCAAGGCGACGAUCAGUAGCUGGUCUGAGAGGAUGAUCAGCCUCACUGGGACUGAGACACGGCCCAGACUCCUACGGGAGGCAGCAGUGGGGAAUAUUGGACAAUGGGCGCAAGCCUGAUCCAGCCAUGCCGCGUGGGUGAUGAAGGCCCUAGGGUUGUAAAGCCCUUUCGGCGGGGAAGAUAAUGACGGUACCCGCAGAAGAAGCCCCGGCUAACUUCGUGCCAGCAGCCGC